This 45-nucleotide non-coding RNA is filed under the name Schistosoma mansoni. The record is from RNAcentral. Lineage: Eukaryota; Metazoa; Platyhelminthes; Trematoda; Strigeidida; Schistosomatidae.
CUCCAGCCGACGAGUCCCAAAUAGAACAAAACGAGUGUUCUGGAU